This 501-nucleotide ribosomal RNA is filed under the name uncultured bacterium. RNAcentral's name for it is "partial 16S ribosomal RNA". It matches the Rfam family "Bacterial small subunit ribosomal RNA", at positions 29 to 523 of the family's 1533-position model. The record is from RNAcentral.
AUUGAACGCUGGCGGCAUGCCUUACACAUGCAAGUCGAACGGCAGCACGGGUGCUUGCACCUGGUGGCGAGUGGCGAACGGGUGAGUAAUACAUCGGAACGUACCUUAUCGUGGGGGAUAACGCAGCGAAAGCUGUGCUUAUACCGCAUACGCCCUGAGGGGGAAAGCGGGGGAUCGAAAGACCUCGCGCGAUUAGAGCGGCCGAUGCCUGAUUAGCUUGUUGGUGGGGUAAAAGCCCACCAAGGCGACGAUCAGUAGCUGGUCUGAGAGGACGAUCAGCCACGCUGGGACUGAGACACGGCCCAGACUCCUACGGGAGGCAGCAGUGGGGAAUUUUGGACAAUGGGGGCAACCCUGAUCCAGCAAUGCAGCGGGAGUGAAGAAGGCCUUCGGGUUGUAAAGCUCUUUUGUCAGGGAAGAAACACCGGCUCUAACACAGUCCGGGAAUGACGGUACCUGAAGAAUAAGCACCGGCUAACUACGUGCCAGCCGCCGCCGUAA